Molecule: ribosomal RNA, 524 nt
Filed under: Chlorocryptus purpuratus
Lineage: Eukaryota; Metazoa; Arthropoda; Insecta; Hymenoptera; Ichneumonidae
Description: partial 16S large subunit ribosomal RNA
Rfam family: Archaeal large subunit ribosomal RNA (bases 389-524)
Source: RNAcentral
ACAUGUUUUUUUGAUUUUAAUUUAAAGUCGGGCCUGCUCCAUGAAAAUUUUUAAAUAGCUGCAGUAAUUUAACUGUACAAAGGUAGCAUAAUCAAUAGUUUUUUAAUUGAAAGCUAGAAUGAAUGGUUUGAUAAGGUAAAUAUUGUCUCAAUUUUAAAAAAAUUAUAAUUUUUUUUAUAGUAAAAAUACUAUAAUGAAUUUAAAAGACGAGAAGACCCUAUAGAAUUUUAUAAAUUUAAAUUUUAAAUUAAAUUAUUUAUAAUAUAUUUAAAAUUUAAAUUUAUUUGGUUGGGGAAAUUAUUAAAUUAAGAAAAUUUUAAUAUUUAUAAACAAUAAUUAUUGAAUAAUUGAUCUUUUAAUAAAAAUUUAAAGAAAAAAUUACCUUAGGGAUAACAGCGUAAUUUUUUUGGAGAGUUCAUAUUGAUAAAAAAGAUUGCGACCUCGAUGUUGAAUUAAGAUAAAAUUUUAUUGUAGAGAAUAAAAAUUUUUGGUCUGUUCGACCAUUAAAAUCUUACGUGAUCUGA